AAGAAAACUCCCUCUGAUGGGAAAGGAUGCAAAGGGAAACAACCUGAUUUUGGUGACCACGCACAAAAGUUGUCUCAGGAAAAAGGUUCAGUCCUCGUGCUUGUUCAGAAAAGAAGCCCUAGAAACCUGAAAUGAAUUCCCAGGCACACCAUCAUCUGUCACACACUCCGGCUGCCUGCUGCUCUCAGGAGGCUGGGAUGUUACAUACCACAGAUGGAGACACACACAGGUUUAUAUUCAAGAUUUCAGCAGAUUCAUUUCAGUGACACAGGGCAACAGAAUGGCAACCAGAUGCUGAAUGCUGCCCAUUUCUUGCUGUUCUCCACCCAGCACUCCUGCCAUGGACAAAGUGACAGGACUCACCUGCACACCAAGAGAGAAGAAAAGUGUGGGCAGGUACAAAAAGGGCACGCUCCCCGCACAGGACACGCUGUGCCCCAAGCACGAAGCCCGUCCUUGUAACUGCACAGCUCCCCGGUGCCGCCGCACCUCGCCUUCCCCCCGCUGCGCCAAGAGGCCAGCGAGCCUUGAGGGAAGGUUAUGAAUUAACGGCUCCUCUCCCU
This 563-nucleotide long non-coding RNA is filed under the name Anas platyrhynchos (mallard). RNAcentral's name for it is "lncRNA (ENSAPLG00020018446.1)". The record is from RNAcentral. Lineage: Eukaryota; Metazoa; Chordata; Aves; Anseriformes; Anatidae.